AAUUGCUUCGACAGUACAUAUACUAGAAUUGGAACGAAACAGAGACGAUUAGCAAGGACCUUGAGCAAGAAUGUCACGCAAAACCGUGACGCAUUCUACAUUUUA
Parasteatoda tepidariorum (common house spider) is the source of this 105-nucleotide small nuclear RNA. NCBI's taxonomy places the organism in Eukaryota, Metazoa, Arthropoda, Arachnida, Araneae, Theridiidae. The record is from RefSeq and is a predicted model, not a curated record.